GAUGAAGAACGCAGCGAAAUGCGAUAAGUAAUGUGAAUUGCAGAAUUCAGUGAAUCAUCGAAUCUUUGAACGCACCUUGCACCCUUUGGCAUUCCGAAGGGUAUGCUCGUUUGAGUGUCAUUGUACUCUCACACUCCCAAUUGCUUUGGAUUGGGAGCGGUGGACUUGGGUGUUGCUGCUUGACUGAGGCUCACCUGAAAUAUGUUAGUGCACCUCUUGAUUGGACAUAGUACGGCGUGAUAAGUGUCUUCGCCGGCUCCUCGCAAAGAGGGUGGCCGAUCGGGAGCUCUGUUGCUUCAAACUGUCUUCGGACAAUCUUCUGGCGACUUGACCUCAAAUCGAGUAGGACUACCCGCUGAACUUAAGCAUAUCAAUAAGCGGAUGA
This 385-nucleotide unclassified non-coding RNA is filed under the name soil metagenome. Its description in RNAcentral is "partial contains 5.8S ribosomal RNA, internal transcribed spacer 2, and large subunit ribosomal RNA". The stretch from base 1 to 120 matches the Rfam family "5.8S ribosomal RNA", at positions 35 to 154 of the family's 154-position model. The record is from RNAcentral.